This is a long non-coding RNA of Dermacentor albipictus, 1577 nucleotides long. RefSeq lists it as uncharacterized. Lineage: Eukaryota; Metazoa; Arthropoda; Arachnida; Ixodida; Ixodidae. The record is from RefSeq and is a predicted model, not a curated record.
GUGGCCUACGACGGACCUAUCGCCCGAAUGGCUGAUCGCGCUGUCACCACAGCAGCUGGUGCGCGCAGCGGCUAUUCUGGCAAACGACGCACCUUGGCUUUGGUAUAAGAGCCCUGUCUGGAUGGAGCCGCCAUCACUUCAGAGCGAUCCAUGCAGCAAGUAGCACCUGCCCUGUACUAAACCCGGACCUUGCAUCUUUGCAGGGGGGCGGAAAAAACUGAAGCACGACGCACUGCCAACAUUGAACUUGCCGCAGCGCAGAUUUGACAAGCAAAAGCUGCCUCGCAAGCCACCGGCAAAGAGAGCCCCUGUUUCAAGGCAAUCAAGGAUGCCAGGAAGCAUAGCCGACGAUGUUGCAGGUCAUGUCUCUGUUCAUGAAGAAAAUCCUGCUGAGGAGACUGCGUACGAAGUGCCACAAGAUGAUAUCCUGGAACAGUUCACCGAGAUUGUGUGUGCACAAGCUGGCACACUAUGGGACGCAUUUGUACAAGCGAGUCAUCUCCCGGUCAUUGGCUGCCCCAAGCCUCUCCUUUCAUGUGCGGUUGGGUAGACAGACGACACCAUCAAAGUGCUCACAAGAUUGUCAUGCCUGCAGCUGUUGAAGAAUAUAAUUGAUCAGUUCGCUGCCUUGCGCAGAGUAUCCAUUCCGAGAGGUUUUGCAUUAAGGGACGAAGAUACCGUGCUGAUGGUUCUUGUGAAACUCUACCACAACAUAAGCUUCAGCUUUUUAUCUGUUCUUUUUUCCAUAGACAGAACAACUGCAUCGAACAUUUUUAAGAAUGCCAUAUGAAUUCUUGCAAAUGUACUUGGAGAGGCGGUGUUUUUCCCUUGCUAAGAGUUAGUCCUGGAAAACUUGAUAAUUUAUUUCAAGGAAUACAAGGAAACUCGCAUUGUAUUAGACUGCACAGAGGUGGCCCUUGAAAGACCAGGUGACUUCAGAUCGCGACUGCUUACAUACAGCCACUACAAACGCCAGUACACAAAGUGUUGACUGGCGUUGCUCCAAGCGGCAUGAUAACAUUAGUUGGGAAAGCGUUUGGAGGUCGCGCUUCAGACAGGCAACUCACAGCCCACUGAAAUGUACUCAUCAAAUGCGCGGCAUAUGUCGACCGUGUUAUGGUUGACAAAGGUUUCUUGAUAGAGAACCUUUGCGACAAGGCCAGGGUUAGUAUGGACAGGCCCCCUUUUUUAAAGAAAAGGCAACAGCUUGAAGAACAUGAAGCAAACAAAAAUCAAGCGAUUGCAAGAGCAAGACUACAUGUUAUAAGAGCCAUUUAACUUGUGAAAUCCUUCAAAAUUCUUCAACAGAGGUACCCCAUUCAGCUCCUUCCUGCGUUUGACAAAGUCAUCCUGUUGCUUGCUGGCAUAGUAAACUUAUCAAGGCCAAUUUUGGGUGAAGACAAGUUUCUAACAAAUAUCUAAAGAGUGCACAAAGUUGAAAGAAACGCGAAAUAAUACCAGGUGUGUUAUAUUGUUGCCAAAUCAAUACGUUCAGUGGUCACUAUAGUGCAGAAAGCACAAAGAGAUAAACAAAGUGCCGACGUGAACAAAUAAUUUUGAAAAUUGCCUUUCACCCU